ACGGGGUGCAGCAGGCGCGAAACCUCCACAAUGCGCGAAAGCGUGAUGGGGUUAUCCCGAGUGCCGUCCCGAUGAGGAUGGCUUUUUAUCGAUGUAAGGAUUCGAUAGAAUAAAGGGGGGGCAAGACUGGUGUCAGCCGCCGCGGUAAUACCAGCCCCCUGAGUGGUAAGGACGAUUAUUUGGCCUAAAGCGUUCGUAGCCGGCUUAUCAAGUCUUUUGUUAAAUCCAACGAUUCAAUCGUUGGGCCGCAAAAGAUACUGUUAUGCUAGAGGACGGGAGAGGUCGACGGUAGUCCAGGGGUAGGGGUGAAAUCCUAUAAUCCUUGGAGGACCACCAGUGGCGAAGGCGGUCGACUAGAACGUGCCUGACGGUGAGGGACGAAAGCUGGGGGAGCGAACCGGAUUAGAUACCCGGGUAGUCCCAGCUGUAAACGAUGCGGGCUAGGUGUUGGGGCAGCCACGAGCUGCUCCAGUGCCGCAGAGAAGUUGUAAGCCCGCCGCCUGGGAGUACGCCGACAAGGC
RNAcentral lists this ribosomal RNA (521 nucleotides) under uncultured archaeon. Its description in RNAcentral is "bacterial SSU rRNA". It matches the Rfam family "Archaeal small subunit ribosomal RNA", at positions 325 to 850 of the family's 1478-position model. The record is from RNAcentral.